This 64-nucleotide transfer RNA is filed under the name Neoneuromus sikkimmensis. RNAcentral describes it as "tRNA-Cys". Lineage: Eukaryota; Metazoa; Arthropoda; Insecta; Megaloptera; Corydalidae. The record is from RNAcentral.
AGUCUUGUAUUCAAUGAUGAUUUUAGAUUGCAAAUCUAAAGGUAAAGUAAAACUUUUAAGGCUU